This 467-nucleotide ribosomal RNA is filed under the name uncultured bacterium. RNAcentral describes it as "partial 16S ribosomal RNA". It matches the Rfam family "Bacterial small subunit ribosomal RNA", at positions 28 to 507 of the family's 1533-position model. The record is from RNAcentral.
GACGAACGCUGGCGGCGUGCUUAACACAUGCAAGUCGAACGGAAAGGCCUAGCUUGCUGGGUACUCGAGUGGCGAACGGGUGAGUAACACGUGGGUGAUCUGCCCCUGACUUUGGGAUAAGCCUGGGAAACUGGGUCUAAUACCGGAUAUUCAUUUUUCCUCGCAUGGGGAUUUGUGGAAAGCUUUUGCGGUUGGGGAUGGGCCCGCGGCCUAUCAGCUUGUUGGUGGGGUAAUGGCCUAUCAAGGCGACGACGGGUAGCCGACCUGAGAGGGUGAUCGGCCACACUGGGACUGAGACACGGCCCAGACUCCUACGGGAGGCAGCAGUGGGGAAUAUUGCACAAUGGGCGCAAGCCUGAUGCAGCGACGCCGCGUGAGGGAUGACGGCCUUCGGGUUGUAAACCUCUUUUAGCUCCGACGAAGCGCAAGUGACGGUAGGAGCAGAAGAAGCACCGGCCAACUACGUG